AUACAUCCAUAUUCAUCCAACAGCAACAAAAUGAUACAAAAGUGAAAGGCAUUUCAUAUAUAAACCUUACUGAAGCCGAAACCUAACCAAACCCAGAAUUGGCCAAGUAGCAUGACGGCGCAACACCAAUGAAGCUUCUCCGUUAUAGAGUAGAAGGCUUCAUCUAUGGCAGAAUCACAUCUACCCAAAUCUUUUUCUUUACUAACCAUUCAAAAUCUAGGGUUUUUGUAAACACUGAUGGGUGUUGUGCAAUUUGAUACAACAAAAAAUCGAUUUGUGGCAGCGGUGGAUGAUUUCUUAAUCAAAUUCUCCGAUGUGGACCAUCCACAAACAAAUUCUGGAUUUGCAGAUAAGUGGCCUCUUUUGUUGCUAAUCAGUGGAAUGGUUUGUAAAUUCAACUCCCAAAGGUGUAUGUCUAGCCUCACUCCAAAGGUAUCAAGGUUAAUAUGUACAAACUCUGGUGAUGCCAUCUUAGUAUUAGCAUCGAAUGCUAUUAACCUGCUUUGCUUUGUCCAAGAAUGCUUGCUAUGUGAUAUCAACAUCUGGUGGAAAGAUCUCUUUGUUCAACAUGAUGACAUUCAAGAGAGUGACCAGGUGUCCUUUGCUAUAAUAUCAUGCAGCCUACAGUAAAUCCAAUAUCUGUAGCAUCAGCAAACAAAUUCUGGAUUUGCAUAUAGGUGGCCUCUUUUGUUGCCAUCAGUGGAAUGUUGUGUAAAUUUAACUCCCAAAGGUGUAUGUGUAGCCUUACUCCAAAGUAAUUUGUAGGAAAGUCUAAUUGGGGUGAAAUAAGAAUAAAGAACAAAAAUACAUCCAUAUUCAUCCAACAGCAACAAAAAUGACACAAAAGAGAAAGGCAUUUCAUCUAUAAACCUUACUGAAGCCGAAACCUAACCAAACCCAGAAUCGGCCAAGUAGCAUGACGGCGCAACACCAACGAAGCUUCUCCGUUAUAGAGAAGAAGGCUUCAGCUAUGGCAGAAUCACAUCUACCCAAAUCUUUUUCUUCAGUUACCAUUCAAAAUCUAGGGAUUCUGUAAACACUGAUGGGUGUUGUGCAAUUUGAUACAACUAAAAAUCGAUUUGUGGCAGCGGUGGAUGAUUUCUCAAUCAAAUUCUCCGAUGUGGACCAUCCAGUAUCAAGGUUAAUAUGUACAAACUCUGGUGAUGCCAUCUUAGUAUUAGCAUCGAAUGCUAUUAACCUGCUUUGCUUUGUCCAAGAAUGCUUGCUAUGUGAUAUCAACAUCUGGUGGAAAGAUCUCUUUGUUCAACAUGAUGACAUUCAAGAGAGUUUCAUGCCUCCACCUCCAGCAGCAACUUAUAUUGCCUUCCAUCCUCAAGAUAACAACAUCAUCACUAUUGGUAUGGAUAAUUCUAUAAUGUUCGACUGGGUUAAAAGCAAGCUUAAAGGGCACUCUAAAAGGAUACCUGGCCUUGCCUUCUCUCAUGUGCUCAAUGUGCUAGUUUCCUCGGGAGCUGAUUCUCAGAGCUGUGUAUGGAGCACUGUUGGGCGGGAAUGCAGAGGGCCAGAUCCUUGCAGCUACGGUGUCGAUCGAUAUCUCAAUCAGAUACCAGAGUGCAGUUCAUCAGGAUCAAACUCAUUUCUUUGUUGUGCAUGACGCACAGCUUGCAAUUUAUGAAAAAACAAAGUUGAAAUGCUUAAAGCAGCAGUGGGUUCCGUGCUGAAGUACUGCCCCAAUUUCUAAUGUGAUAGCCAGCUGAUACAUGCCAGUUUCUUGGAUGCAACUGUGUGCAUAUUCACUCUCCAUAUGCGAUGCCGCAGUUCAAAUAUCCACCCAGUUGUUGCAGAACAUCUAGAAGAUCCAAGGCAAUAUGCACUAGCUAUGUCAGAUAGCAGUGUUAAUGUUUCCAUACCACUUGAAUCUGGAGGCAAAUAAGGUGUCCUUCCACCACUUGUAGGUUGUGCAGACGGCGUUCCAGCAAUCUGAAGGCAGAUGGGGCGUGUAAAUGGUUCUGCAGACGGCAUUCCAGCAAUCUCAAGGCAGAUGGGCCGUUCCUCCAACACUUGAAAAUGAUUUUGCAGAAGAUGUGCCAGCUGCUCCAUCCUGGAGCUUGGAGCUUCGAUCAAGCACCAAGAUAACAGAGAAUUAUUAAGCAAACAAACAGUCUAUAGUACUUUUGACAAGCCUGAACUCCUCUGUGAAGUCACUAAUGACAUUUGUUUUUCGAAUUCUUUGGCUUAUGUGAAUCAACAAUAUUUUUCAGUUUGUUUAUCAAGAUAAUUGAUAGAAAA
RNA transcript from Solanum lycopersicum (tomato), 2250 nucleotides. RefSeq lists it as uncharacterized. NCBI's taxonomy places the organism in Eukaryota, Viridiplantae, Streptophyta, Magnoliopsida, Solanales, Solanaceae. The record is from RefSeq and is a predicted model, not a curated record.